UACGUAGGGAGCAAGCGUUGUCCGGAAUCAUUGGGCGUAAAGCGCGCGUAGGUGGCCUCAUAAGUCCGCUGUGAAAGUCCAAGGCUCAACCUUGGAAAGCCGGUGGAUACUGUGAGGCUAGAGUACGGAAGAGGCGAGUGGAAUUCCUGGUGUAGCGGUGGAAUGCGCAGAUAUCAGGAGGAACACCAAUAGCGAAGGCAGCUCGCUGGGACGUUACUGACACUGAGGCGCGAAAGCGUGGGGAGCAAACAGG
This 253-nucleotide ribosomal RNA is filed under the name uncultured bacterium. Its description in RNAcentral is "partial 16S ribosomal RNA". It matches the Rfam family "Bacterial small subunit ribosomal RNA", at positions 524 to 776 of the family's 1533-position model. RNAcentral also lists the same sequence under 1 other name. The record is from RNAcentral.